RNAcentral lists this microRNA (23 nucleotides) under Bos taurus (domestic cattle). RNAcentral describes it as "bta-miR-6532". The record is from miRBase by way of RNAcentral. Lineage: Eukaryota; Metazoa; Chordata; Mammalia; Artiodactyla; Bovidae.
AGUGCGGACAGGAAAGACGGUUU